This 467-nucleotide ribosomal RNA is filed under the name uncultured bacterium. RNAcentral describes it as "bacterial SSU rRNA". It matches the Rfam family "Bacterial small subunit ribosomal RNA", at positions 329 to 795 of the family's 1533-position model. The record is from RNAcentral.
AGCCAGACUCCUACGGGAGGCAGCAGUGAGGAAUAUUGGUCAAUGGCCGGAAGGCUGAACCAGCCAUGCCGCGUGAAGGUCAGUGCCCUAUGGGCGUUAAACUUCUUUUGUGCGGGAGCAAUAAUGGUCACGUGUGGCCGGACGAGAGUACCGUACGAAUAAGCAUCGGCUAACUCCGUGCCAGCAGCCGCGGUAAUACGUAGGGAGCGAGCGUUGUCCGGAAUUACUGGGUGUAAAGGGAGCGUAGGCGGGCUUGUAAGUUGAAUGUCUAAUCCACCGGCUCAACCGGUGAUCGCGUUCAAAACUGCAGGUCUUGAGUGAAGUAGAGGCAGGCGGAAUUCCUAGUGUAGCGGUGAAAUGCGUAGAUAUUAGGAGGAACACCAGUGGCGAAGGCGGCCUGCUGGGCUUUAACUGACGCUGAGGCUCGAAAGCGUGGGGAGCAAACAGGAUUAGAUACCCCGGUAGUU